Monodelphis domestica (gray short-tailed opossum) is the source of this 1538-nucleotide long non-coding RNA. The record is from Ensembl. Lineage: Eukaryota; Metazoa; Chordata; Mammalia; Didelphimorphia; Didelphidae.
AUAUUAAUGAUCUCAUAUUGCUUGCUUUCUCAGUGAGAGGGGAAAGAAUUGGAAGAAAGGAGAGAAUUUGGAAUUUUAAAACAUUUUAGGAAUGUUAUAAAUUAAUAAUUUUUUAAAAGAGAAGUACAAAAUGAACAAUAUAUUUGGAUACCAAGCUACCAAGACACACUCCAAAAAAGAAAAAGGAGAAGUUCUGCUCUAUACCCAAAGAAACAAAGCUUUGUGGUAGAAUUCAAGCCACUCUAACAGGAAGCUCAUUUUGCAGACAAAGAAACUGAGGCCAGGGCAGUGUUCUUACCAGUGCCCAUUGCCCCCAGGGGCAAUCCUGUUCUUCUCCAGUCUCCCUUGCUACAGGAUGGGAAGCCAGUGAGCCACCUCCUCCGGGAAGUCCUCCCCAGAGGGGAGGAAAGCAUGCAGCAAGCCAGCCAGACGGAUGCGGCCCCUGGGGGGCCGGAUUCCGGGGGCCGCAAGCUGGAGGGCCAGGAUCUUAAUCCAGCUCCAGGGAAAUUAAGCUGCCACUGGAACGGGCCGGGGACAUUCCCCUUUGCUGGCUCCUGGGAAUUAAAAACCUCCUACCUCUGCCUCCAGCUUACCCCAUACCUCCCAGGAGAAGAUCACAGCCCCUUGCUGAGUGCCCUCCCCAGCCACAGUCAGAAAAGGAGGAAGGGCUGUGGAGAAGGAGACCCAGGAUGCCUUGAUCCUUUUUUUCACUCCCUUUUCUGGCCCAAUGGAGUAUAUCUUUCAUGUGAUCUAGGCUUCAGUUUCUCCACAUUCAAAAUGGGAAUUCGGGACACACAUCCCGGUGUCCUACAUCACUUGAUUUGGGGUCAUUCUGAGCAAAUAGAAUUGGUUCUAUGCCUCUUCCGCCCAGUCCCCAGGGCUAACAUUAUUUGGCAGAUUCCAUACUACUCCUGCCAAUAACGAGCAUUUCCUUAGCACAUAAAACUGCCCCAUGAGGGAUUAGCCACACUUUACAGAUGAGGAAACACACCCAAAAGGGGUAAAUGCUAAAUUUACACAGGCAGAAGAGGACAAAACCAGGACUCCCAUGCGAGUCUCCUGGGUCAGGGUUCUAGUCAGCUUCUCUCCAAAGAACUCCCUGGGAUUGGCUUCUCAUGGGACCAUAACCACCCAAGAAGUCCUGGACCUGAAGGACAGUGAAAUGAAUCUGAGGGCACAGAUCUCCCCAUCAUCCCUUUUCAGCUUGGUACUCCUUAUCAUCUAAGCCACUCACUCCAGCCUUGAUGCCUUCCAAAGGGGUCAUGUCUUAGCUCCUCCUAAAUGCUCCCUUAGACUAGGCCAAAACCUUUCCAGACUUCUCCCUUCCCAUCCUUCCCUGGCUUAUCUAGUACUGCCUGACCUGACUUACUGGUAACACUGGCAGCUCCUCCAAAACUGGGGCUGGAUUUCUUCUUUCCUUUGUCUCCUCCCCUUCCCCUCCCAGCUUCCCACAGUCUUCAGCACCAGGUCGGGCACCCGUGGGGCUUAUAAUAACACAAGCCAAUAAAUGUUGUUCUGGUCUUUGUCUCUGUUUAAUG